Molecule: ribosomal RNA, 253 nt
Filed under: uncultured bacterium
Lineage: Bacteria
Description: partial 16S ribosomal RNA
Rfam family: Bacterial small subunit ribosomal RNA
Source: RNAcentral
UACGAAGGGGGCUAGCGUUGCUCGGAAUCACUGGGCGUAAAGGGUGCGUAGGCGGGUCUUUAAGUCAGGGGUGAAAUCCUGGAGCUCAACUCCAGAACUGCCUUUGAUACUGAGGAUCUUGAGUACGGGAGAGGUGAGUGGAACUGCGAGUGUAGAGGUGAAAUUCGUAGAUAUUCGCAAGAACACCAGUGGCGAAGGCGGCUCACCUGGCCCGAUACUGACGCUGAGGCACGAAAGCGUGGGAGCAAACAGG